Molecule: long non-coding RNA, 3328 nt
Filed under: Volvox carteri
Lineage: Eukaryota; Viridiplantae; Chlorophyta; Chlorophyceae; Chlamydomonadales; Volvocaceae
Description: long non-coding RNA (VCAR_LNC003126)
Source: RNAcentral
AGUUUGCCGGCAGCUUGGCUUCCUCAGAGGAGAGCCCUUCGGCCAGGCCUUUUUUGGACAGGGCACGGGUCCUAUCCUUCUCGAUGGCUUUAAUUGCACCUCGUCAGUCAGCCGUCUGGACCAGUGCACCAUUCCUGCUAUGGCUUCUCACGACUGCAGCCAUGUAGAGGAUGCUGGCGUCCGCUGCACAAGUAAGUAGUAGUGUUGCUAGAGCAUGCUUACUGUAGUAGCUGGCCGCUGAAAAGGCCUCCCGAGAUGCUGGUGGUCGCGCUUAGCACGUAUUUGUAGUUGUUAUGUGUGCUGUUCUGUGUACCGUCUACUACGUCCCCCCCCUUUGAAGGGAUCCGUCUCGGGCCCUUACAGCCACGUAUACCACCAGCCUGUGCUACCUUCGCCUAUCCUCGGGCAGUGGGUGCCCAGUCCACGUCAUGUCCUGUGUCGCUUUCACAUGCGCCUAGUGGUCUUAAGGGUUUUCAGGCACAGAGACACUCCAGUCGGUUCAGCUAUAUUUGUCGCGAUAAUCGCUCACUAAGUCACCAAACCCGAUACUCCUCCUUCAAGCGAGAAUGGUGAAGGUUGAACCGACGACUUUAGAAUCGUGAAAUUUCACGAGGUCUCCAUACCAAAUAGCUGGCCGCUGAAAAGGCCUCUCGAGAUGCCAGUGGUCGUGCUUAGCACGUAUAUGUAGUUGUUAUGUGUGCCGUACUGUGUACCGGCUACUACACUCACUCACCAAUUGAUCAUAUAUGCUGUAUAGAUGGGCCUUGAUGAAUAAUAUGUGCAUACUUACAACCGGAAUGCACACAACCUAGGCUUCUUAAGCGCUUUGUAGUAGCAGGCUGAUUUAUCGUCGAAGAACAAGGCCCUGGGUGGAUCUGUUCCACAGGACAGGAAGGAACUCAAGAUGAGAUCACAGUUGGGGCAAGCCAAGGGAGCUGAGUCCUCCUUACAACAGUUUAGAGGUGUUUAGCCGAAAGAUGAUGAAUCCCUCACCAACAGAACCAGGCAGCAUGGAGUUGGUUAUCGUUUAAGCGGGACCUUACACUUAUGGGACUGUGGCAGCUGUAGAUAGUACGACACACACAUCGUCUGUGAAUUUAUGGAGAGCUUCUAAGGCACUCCACCAGUACCUUAAGAGGCCAUUUCAGCGGUCAGCAGGAUCCUGGCACAUAUGCGGAAGUGUCAGCAAGCAUGUUGUAAACGGCGCGAUCUGACAGCUUCAAAGAUUGAGAUCCAGCUCCGCAGUUAUUUAAUUUUGGAGGUGUCUGGGCCCCCACUCUAGAGGCCACUUUUGUGUGUUAGGAGUGAUUUGUUAGCAGCAGCAGCCUGAGCUCGAAAAUCGUUCCGCAGCCUUGAGCAGAGUUGAAACCCCUCUAAGUAUUAUUAUGAGCUGCAUUAAUCCAGUACAUGGUGCGAUGCAGCAAAAGCUGGUAUUUCAUUGUUUCUCCGUACCCCCAAAAGCUGCCAUCUUGUACUGAUAUGCUUGUAUGAUGCCUGGCCGAUUUUCUUUCAUUUCUAAUCACCACCAGCUGACAUCCGCCUGGUCAACGGCAGUCGUGCUGGAGAAGGGCGAGUAGAAGUCUUUUUCAACGGAGCCUGGGGAACUGUGUGGUGAGUACGUACCGUAUGUCUAUGAUUUUAUUCAUAACUGCCUAAUAAUGUGCCUAGGCUUAGGGUUUUGGUUACAAGAUACAUUAUUUUUAACUAAGAAAAUUAUUUGUGAUUUUUACUGUGCUUUACUAAAGGUGUUUUUGCCUUCACUGCCGGCGUAUCUUUUCAUAAUGAUUAUGGUAAUCCUAGAUAUCUAGACAUCUGGACAAACUGAAUGACUGAAUGCAUUGCCUUAACCACCAUCACUUGCCAGGGGAGCUGAUCCCUUCUCACAUAACUGACCCUGCUGAUAUAUGCGUACCUAUGCAUGCAGUGACGACAACUUUGACGCAAACGCUGCAAACGCAGUAUGUCGCCAGCUUGGAUUCCCACCUGGCAUACCUUUCGGCAAUGCAGCUUUUGGGCAGGGCACAGGUCCCAUCCAACUUGACGGCUUCAUUUGCUCCUCUACAGCCAGCCGCCUGGACUCAUGCACAAUUCCUGCCUGGGCCACUCACGACUGCAGCCAUUCUGAGGAUGCAGGAGUACGUUGUGGAGGUAAGGUGGUGUUGCAUGCAAAUCUAGUAAUUUGCGUUGAUCGGGUUCUCAGACAAUUCGUAGAAAAUGCAUGUUUCAACACGCAGAUGAAUACAGCAUGAGUCACGCUGCAUGGGUGGUAUGGCAAUUUGCCAUGCCAAACAUUAAAUAUUUGCUACAUUUUCAGGUAGUCAAUCGUUCGAUGUUCGCCUGGUUAGCGGCAGCCGUGCUGGAGAAGGGCGAGUGGAGAUUUUGUACGGUGGAGCUUGGGGAACUGUGUGGUGAGUUGGCAACAUGCAUACAGCAGGACAGGCUGUACAUGCACAUUUGUAACGCCUACAAAUGUAGUUCCUAUUCGUGCAAAUUGCACCGAUGUCGGUUGUUUUGAGUGGCCGUGUGUAAGGUAUUUUAUAUAAAAUAUUUUAUAUAUACACGUACACAACAAAUGAAAUGCGUAUGCUACACCUUGAGUUGACGUCAGCAAAAUUGUGGUUUAUAGAUAGGAACAUGGUAUAAGAGGUACUGUAUAGUAGGACUGAGAAAUUGAUGGUUUAUAUAUAAACCAUGAAUCUAACUAUAUAGAUGUUAUGUCCUAGUGUCUAGUACUAGAACAGGCCUGAGGAUGGACGGUCUAUGGACACUCCUCAAUUUUACAGGCGUAAUUGAAUUUAUUUUGCUUGCAGUGAUGACAACUUCGACGGCAAUGCAGCAACUGCAGUUUGCCGGCAGCUUGGCUUCCUCAGAGGAGAGCCCUUCGGCCAGGCCUUUUUUGGACAGGGCACGGGUCCUAUCCUUCUCGAUGGCUUUAAUUGCACCUCGUCAGUCAGCCGUCUGGACCAGUGCACCAUUCCUGCUAUGGCUUCUCACGACUGCAGCCAUGUAGAGGAUGCUGGAGUCCGCUGCACAAGUACGUAGUUAGCAUUGUUAGUUGCAAGUGAGCAUGCCCAACAAUUGAGCUAGAGUUCGUUCAUGAAGGCCUGGGUGCAUGGAUGUGUGGAAAACGCUAGCAGGUUGCAUAGACAUCCAAUCAUUGUUUCCUGUGCACAGAAAGGUCAUACCAUGAAUACUAUAGUAGAGUAUAGGAAGCUACGUAGCUACCUGCCAGCAGCAUGUCAUGAAGACAAAUACAUUGAAAUGCACUUUCACUUUUCAUCCCAGCCAUCUGCUAGUACACCUACAAAUCACUGUAGACAUGCACAUG